RNAcentral lists this ribosomal RNA (1013 nucleotides) under Salmonella enterica subsp. enterica serovar Heidelberg. RNAcentral's name for it is "partial 23S ribosomal RNA". It matches the Rfam family "Bacterial large subunit ribosomal RNA", at positions 137 to 1190 of the family's 2925-position model. The record is from RNAcentral. Lineage: Bacteria; Pseudomonadati; Pseudomonadota; Gammaproteobacteria; Enterobacterales; Enterobacteriaceae.
GACUCGUCACACUAUCAUUAACUGAAUCCAUAGGUUAAUGAGGCGAACCGGGGGAACUGAAACAUCUAAGUACCCCGAGGAAAAGAAAUCAACCGAGAUUCCCCCAGUAGCGGCGAGCGAACGGGGAGGAGCCCAGAGCCUGAAUCAGCAUGUGUGUUAGUGGAAGCGUCUGGAAAGGCGCGCGAUACAGGGUGACAGCCCCGUACACAAAAGCGCAUGUGCUGUGAGCUCGAUGAGUAGGGCGGGACACGUGGUAUCCUGUCUGAAUAUGGGGGGACCAUCCUCCAAGGCUAAAUACUCCUGACUGACCGAUAGUGAACCAGUACCGUGAGGGAAAGGCGAAAAGAACCCCGGCGAGGGGAGUGAAAAAGAACCUGAAACCGUGUACGUACAAGCAGUGGGAGCACCCUUUGGGGUGUGACUGCGUACCUUUUGUAUAAUGGGUCAGCGACUUAUAUUCUGUAGCAAGGUUAACCGUAUAGGGGAGCCGUAGGGAAACCGAGUCUUAACCGGGCGUUAAGUUGCAGGGUAUAGACCCGAAACCCGGUGAUCUAGCCAUGGGCAGGUUGAAGGUUGGGUAACACUAACUGGAGGACCGAACCGACUAAUGUUGAAAAAUUAGCGGAUGACCUGUGGCUGGGGGUGAAAGGCCAAUCAAACCGGGAGAUAGCUGGUUCUCCCCGAAAGCUAUUUAGGUAGCGCCUCGUGAAUUCAUCUCCGGGGGUAGAGCACUGUUUCGGCUAGGGGGCCAUCCCGGCUUACCAACCCGAUGCAAACUGCGAAUACCGGAGAAUGUUAUCACGGGAGACACACGGCGGGUGCUAACGUCCGUCGUGAAGAGGGAAACAACCCAGACCGCCAGCUAAGGUCCCAAAGUCAUGGUUAAGUGGGAAACGAUGUGGGAAGGCCCAGACAGCCAGGAUGUUGGCUUAGAAGCAGCCAUCAUUUAAAGAAAGCGUAAUAGCUCACUGGUCGAGUCGGCCUGCGCGGAAGAUGUAACGGGGCUAAACCAU